GAUGAACGCUGGCGGCGUGCCUAAUACAUGCAAGUAGAACGCUGAAGGAAGGAGCUUGCUCUUUCCGGAUGAGUUGCGAACGGGUGAGUAACGCGUAGGUAACCUGUCUGGUAGCGGGGGAUAACUAUUGGAAACGAUAGCUAAUACCGCAUAACAGUAGAUGUUGCAUGAUAUCUACUUAAAAGGUGCAAUUGCACCACUACCAGAUGGACCUGCGUUGUAUUAGCUAGUUGGUGAGGUAACGGCUCACCAAGGCGACGAUACAUAGCCGACCUGAGAGGGUGAUCGGCCACACUGGGACUGAGACACGGCCCAGACUCCUACGGGAGGCAGCAGUAGGGAAUCUUCGGCAAUGGACGGAAGUCUGACCGAGCAACGCCGCGUGAGUGAAGAAGGUUUUCGGAUCGUAAAGCUCUGUUGUAAGAGAAGAACGAGUGUGAGAGUGGAAAGUUCACACUGUGACGGUAUCUUACCAGAAAGGGACGGCUAACUACGUG
RNAcentral lists this ribosomal RNA (497 nucleotides) under uncultured bacterium. RNAcentral's name for it is "partial 16S ribosomal RNA". It matches the Rfam family "Bacterial small subunit ribosomal RNA", at positions 28 to 507 of the family's 1533-position model. The record is from RNAcentral.